AGAAACAAAAUUGAGAGAAACAGUUCGAAUGCCAAGACAGAAACAAUUCGAAUGCCAACAAAAUUUUUGGCUUUCUGUAGUAGUAUAUGGAAAUUGGAAACACUUAAACUUGCUAUCUAUAAUUCUAUAUUCUUCUUUUUUUUCUAUUUGAAAACACCAUAUUCAAAACAAAAUAAAAACACCUGAACAUCCAACAUUUUACACUGCCAAUUACAUUUGCAGUGUCCCAAUUACAUUUACACACUGCCAUUGCCAAGAACACCUGAACAACCAAUAUUUCAGGAAACACCUACAGUUAUAUUUAUACACGGCAAUUAUAUUUACCAACUGGAAACACCUGAACAACCAACAUUCUUCGAAAAAAGGCCAUCCACAAACAGAGCAAACACCUGAACAUUGGCAUUCAUUCACAAUUCAGCAAAACCAUAAACACAACCAUAAUCAGCUCUGUUUAAGGAACAACAAGAGCUCAAAAUGCACCUUAGCCAAAAUGUUUACUUUCAUUUUAUUGAACAUACCCAAAUACCCAAUAAUAUAAUUUCAAGGUAAAACAAAUAAAAACUGGUAAAAAGGUUUAAAAAAAGAGUUAAUCUUUAGCAGCUCUAGCACAAAUUAUGGAAGAAACUAGAAACAUACCUUUGAAUUUUGAUUAGCAGCCGAUCUCUUUGAAGUCCCAACAAGCUUUUGAAACAACGGCCCAUCUCUUUCUGAAUUUGUGAAACUAUCGCAACAACAGCCGAUCUCUUUCUGUAUUUGGUCUUCGUUUGCCCGGAAUUUGUGAAACUAUCGCCCUAAAUCGGAAUUGACUUUCUGAGGAGUGAGGACUGAGGAGUGAGCUGAGUUCGUGACUGCCUAGUGCCUAAUGCUAAUGCCCUAAUCUUU
Molecule: long non-coding RNA, 882 nt
Filed under: Nicotiana tabacum (common tobacco)
Lineage: Eukaryota; Viridiplantae; Streptophyta; Magnoliopsida; Solanales; Solanaceae
Description: long non-coding RNA (NTAB_LNC004418)
Source: RNAcentral